GCCGGUGUGGCGGAAUUGGCAUACGCGCGCGACUCAAAAUCGCGUCCCGCAAGGGUUGUGGGUUCAAGUCCCACCACCGGCA
Non-coding RNA from Candidatus Terrybacteria bacterium RIFCSPLOWO2_02_42_20, 82 nucleotides. NCBI's taxonomy places the organism in Bacteria, Candidatus Terryibacteriota. The record is from Rfam.